Molecule: long non-coding RNA, 22102 nt
Filed under: Setaria viridis
Lineage: Eukaryota; Viridiplantae; Streptophyta; Magnoliopsida; Poales; Poaceae
Description: long non-coding RNA (SVIR_LNC003195)
Source: RNAcentral
GCUUACCGAGAUGAACACAGUAUGCAAGUUCAACUAUUGAAUUUGACAAGAUAAACCGUCUAGACAAGGGUAGCAUCAUUCUUAAACCGCUGCAAGGAUACAUACUAUAUAUGACACAUAUGACAUACUAAUUUUAUCAUCAUAAUUAAUAUUGAAAUCCUCUCAAUUCUACCUCACAUUUACACUCCAAUCUCCCUCACAUUCUCGCUCAAAAUCCUCUCCAUUUUCUACUUCACAUUCUAGCAAAUAAACUAUCCAUCUCCAUUUUACACAUCAAGUUGUUUUAACUAAUACGAAUCGUAUAUAACAAGCAAACUAUCCAUCACAUUCUAUCUUAAGAACCUCUUCAUUCUCCCUCUUUCUAACAAACAAACUCAUUUUUCUCCCUCUCUAAAGUAUAAAUGAAAGCAUAAAAAGAGGAUGAAGUAACUAACCUUCACAACACUUUGGAUGAGUGAAAUUCCCACGAAAAUGAGGGGAAAAAAAAUUCGGACAGCACCUCCCCUAGGCUAUCUUCGGCGCCACCGGAGAGUAGGUGAAGCUCUCUAUCUUUGUGGAGUGGACUGGCUUGGGCUGGAGGAGGAAGAAAGACCUUUGUCUUGGAAUUUAAUGGGGGAUAAGUUUUUAUCCUGGUUAAAAACUCCAACCGGGACAAAAAGAAACACCUUUUAUCCCGGUUGAAAUUUACUCCCGGUUGGUAAUUCCAACCGGGAUAAAAGGGACCCUUUUAUCCCGGUUGAAAUUACCAAUCGGGGCUAAACAUUUUGUCCCGGUUGGUAACACUACCAACCGGGACAAAAGGGCCACCCUUUUAUCCCGAUUGGAGGCUCCAACCGAUAAAAGGGGCACGCCACUUACGCUUGGAUUCUGGCCAUUACAACCGAAACUAAAGCGAGGCUUUUAGUCUCGGUUGCAAAUGCCAACCGGGAGUAAAGCUCCGCUCCAUUCCAGCCUACCGUGGCGCAUCUCCUUUUAGCCCGGGCUAACUUUAAACCAGGACAAAAGGGAGCACAUGGAAGGUCAAUUCUGUACCAGUGGUAUAUCCCUUAUUUAUAAAAAAGAAAUCCGUGGAUGGCAACAGGUAAGAAAUGAAACCGAAGCAUCUUUUCUUUUUCUUUUGCGUGAAGCAAAAAGUAUGACACAAAGGAAUAUGCCUUUCACGCCUCAGCAGCUCACCUACCAGCAUACAGAUUCCAUGGCAUCUUCGAGCAAACUUUAAUUUAAUGGGUACGGUGCUGCACUGCUGUCACUUUUUAUAGAUGGAAAAAAAAGAUUGAAGGUUUUGCAUUUAAAGAGAAUAUUCUUUACAUAUCUCUCUCUUGAAAACUCACAAGUAAAACUAGCCUCCAUGUUAGCGACAUAUUAUAUAUAGACUUAGAAAAUGAAGAAAAAGAAAAAUGCGGAUAACGAGAUAUCCUCAUGAGAACAUGAUGGUUUCAACCUUGCAAUUAUCAAGAUGGAAGCAAUGCAAUCCUAGGAUCCUCUAAUGCUGUAAAGGUAAAAAACGAUUCACGAAAGCAGCUUUGGUUGGACCCCCACGUCAGAUGGAACUGGUCGUGAAGCUCUCUCGCCUAAGAGGUUCUAACCAUCUAAAUCCCUCGUUAACUUUUCUAGAUAUAUAGUAUUUGAUACGUAUCUAGAUAUGAUUUAUAUUUAGAUGUACAAUAAAAAAAUAUACAUCUAAAGAAGUCAAAACAAAUUAAAAUUUAGGAUAGUUGGAGUACUAUUUAUCAAAAAAAUACAUUGUGGCACCCAUGUAACUAAAUAAAAUAAAUAAAAUAGAGGCCAAAGGGUAGAUUAGUCGUAAUUCUCUUCUUAGAUUACUCCAACUAUAGGCACAGAGGCACAUUGGCAUCGAUCUUAAGCUAAGGCCGGUGCGGCGUCAACGUGCGUGUGUGAACCUUCCAUUUCCGCAAGCAUCCGCGUAUGUAUCAGCUAGAAUUAGUUUCCUUGACCCCAUUGGCUUUGACUUCAUAAUCCCGCGAGCCUGAUCCAUACGGGAUGGCUUGUAGCAACAAGUGAAUCUUGCUUGCCCACCACUUCUACCCCUUGACCCCAACCACCGGCCUUGGGCACAUUGGUGACUCCCACACAUUUGCCCAACCACACAUGGACAUGGUGGUCCUCUACCCUUCGCUUGUAUAGUUGCGUCCAAACACCAACCACCGCAUCCUUCUCAUCAGGCCUUUCAAACAAAUCUAAGCCAGCAAGAAAUCAGCUAGCUCCAAUCCGCCGCCCGGGGGGACGAUGAAGAGGGAAGGAUGGCAGCAGGGCACCGUCAGGAUCAACCGCAGCAAGCUACUCAGGGUCGCCGCCGCAGCCAACUGCGAGGAGACGGCGGUUGGGGCGAUGGCGCAUGGGAAGGCGCCGGUCAAGCCGACGAACGCGUCCAAGACCACGGGCAAGUGCCGGCGGCCGCGCAGCGCGAGCUGCCACUACCACCCGGUUUCCAAGGCCCGAGACAAAACCAAGGGCGCGCACAAGUUGCACGCCUGCGACGUCGCGCUCAACCACCGCCUCGUGUCCUGGCGCGUCGUCGACGGUGGUAGCGCGGGGAGCUCGGGGAUCCCAGACUACAAGGGUACCUCGGCAUCAUCCUUGCUGGCCUACCUGGCCGGCAGCGGCAGCAGCUGGCACGAGGACGACGAAGACGGUGGCUCUCUUGAAACUGCCCCGCUGGUCAACGGUGGGCUCCCUGACCUGUACGAUAUCAUCGUCGGCCGUCGCGCCGACGUCACCAUGCUAGGCAGGCAAGAAGCGGAUCUGGCGCGUGCCACUGACAUUGCAGUAGGAGAUACCGACGCAAUUGAAGAGCAGGAGCAGGAUAGCGAUGAUGUCAAGGAAGAUGGGGAUGAAGAAGACAUGGGGUUCUGCAUGGUUGGCAUCACGAUCGCAGUGGAGUUCUCCGACGGAGAGGAGGAUUGGAUCGUGGUGGACGAGAUCUGAUCCGAUCUCGUUCACUUUGCAUGCCAAAUUGCAAAUAAGACAUGCCAGACGAGGCCAUCCAUUCCUCUGGCUGUAAGCUGUCCUGUCUCUCCCAUCUGCAGGUGUUGUGUGUAUACUGCCUGCUCUGUUCGCUGUGUCCAUGCAUGUGUAUAUAUGGUGACUGUUAAUCUGAUCGUGAUCAUGAACUAUGCAUUCAAAACCUGAUUUUCUGAUUUGUGAAUAAUAAAGUGGAGAAGUUGAUCUUCUUCAGUGGUGAUUCAUCUCUGAUUCAAUUGCAAAAAUGGGGAGAUGCCUGCAUGCUGAUCUGAUGAUUUCAAGGUGUUCUUGUCCCUGUUCCUUUCAUUUUCUGCUGGAAGUCCUGUUUUUAGUUGGAUAACCUUUUGAUUCGGAAAAAAGUUGAUAAAUUUUAAUCUUCAAGGUAACGCUUUUUUUUUUGUUCUGAGACACACAAACAUGGAGAAGGAUGGAUUCCGAAAUUCCUCUCAUUGUUUUCUUGUCAAUUCACCACAAGUUCGGCCUUCUGUGCAAAUGAUCGUCCUGUUUUCAAGUAUCACGCACUAUUUUUUUGGUGGCCCGCAGAACUUCUGCUGGUGGUUGUGAUGUCUAGACUUUCUUUUUGAACAGUUUGACAUGUAUCUGCUCUACCAACCCUGCUUUCCGAAGUUUUUCCCAUGCAACGAUUGAAUCACUGUCUUUUUCGGUUGUACAUUUCGUUUAACUUGAAAGGAACGCAUUUUACUUCUAUGUUGAGCUGUCUACGAAUAGUUGUCACCAAAUUUCAUCAGAUGCAUUGUUAUUACGAAUACUUGAUGGCUGUAUUUCGACGAUUCAAAUGAAACACAUCAUUUUAAGGAAUAUGAUGGUUUAAGCAAUUGAAAUUUUUGUAUUAAGGGACCUGUUACGCCUCAAAGAUCUCAUGAAAGCAACAUAUAUUAACGCUGCAACCGCAGUUAAUUACUCCAUCCGGUGUGAGUAAAGUUAAAUAAGAUUAUGAUGUGUACCUGUGCACAGCAACCCCUCUGAUUUGACCAACAUUUAGGGCCUGUUUGGCACGGCUCCACUCCAUAACUCCAGCGACUCCAGCAAAAAAAUCAGCCAAACACGUCAACUCCAAAACUCCAUGGAGCUGCCAACUCCAUGGAGCUGCCAACUCCAUGGAGCUGUAGUGCAAAUGGGGCUGGAGUUUUGGAGCACCCCUUUUGCUGCUCCAAAAUGUCCUCUUUUGAAUCUCCUCGUGGAGUUGGUGGGUAAUUACCCACCACUGCCACUGAUUACACAAAAAUAACGUUUCAUCUGUUUGCCCUCUCGCCUCUCUUCCAUUCUCCCGUGCAGCUCUGUUCUUCCAUCUUCACCCGCCCGCCGUAGCCCCUGCCGGCGGCUAGGGUUGCGCCGGCGGCUAGGCUCGGCACCGCCGUAGCCCCUGCCGGUGGCCGGCUGCAGCGCCCCACCGCCGCCGCAGGCUGGCGGAGCCCCGCCGCCAAGCGCCCUGGCCCGAGGAGAUCUGCCCGCCCGCCUAGUCCCGCCGGCCGCUGCGCCCCUAGGUCUGUCACCGGAGCGCCCCACCGCCAGCCCCUAGGCCCGUCGCCGGUCGCAGCUCCCCGCCGCAGGCUGCAGCUCCCCACCGCCGGCCGUCGCAUCCUGCCGCGGAAGCCCGUCGCGGACCGUCGCGCCCCACUCCGCCGAAGGCCCGCCGCCGGCCGAAGGCCCCGCCGCCGAAGGCUGCCGCCAGUCGCUGCGCCCCGAGGCCGGCCAUCUCGCCCCGCCGCCGAAGGCCGCCGCCGGCCACAGCGCCCCGCCGCCGGAGGAGGUCCCCCGCCGCCCGUUCAGAAGGUAUGCUUCCUGAUGGUACUUUUUUGAAGUAAAAUCAGAGGCCAUGGUGUGAUUGUACUCGUGAGGCCAAUUCUGUUCGUGAAAUUCAUGUCCUGCUCAUAGCACACCAUGAUUUGCAUGCAUUUCGUUUUGGAAACAUGAACUGGGUUGAAUCUUUGCGAGUUCUUGUUACUGAACCUGUCCAGGAAGAGGUCAAAGCAGGCAGGGGCGUAGUACUCGUGCCUGAGUGGGAAUGAAAAGCUAGAUGUAUUGUAUAUCUUCCCAAAUGGGAAUGAAAAGCUAGAUGUAUUCAUAAAUUGUUAUUUUCUGCCUUGUUAUUAUUCUUCAAAGAUAUUUGCAUGCCUAGCCCGGUUUUUGUCAUUCUCCGUUAAUCUGUUGGGUCAUCUGUGAUCUGUAUAUACCGUACCGGCCCAAGCCUCCGGCGACGGGCCUCCGCUCCGUCAGAAGCCCGGCCUAUUUCCUGGAGCAAAUUUGGAACAACUCCAACAGUUACAGCCUCAUAACAAUGCUUGUGCGGCUUAACAACACCCUCUUAUCAUCUCUUUGUUAUGACUUCUGCUCUUUCUAUUGUUGUCACAACAAAUAUUUUACUAGAUGUUAAUAGCAAUUAACAUAGAAACCUGAAUUUUGCAUCACUGUUCUGACUAAUAAGAACUUGGAGGAAAUUCGCAACAAAAUUUAUGAUAUGUUUCUAAUCAUUGUCAAUUAUUACAGAGAGCGCAUAUCAAAAACACAUCAGGAGGAGAUCCCCCGCCGUCCCUGGCAUCUCGAGGAGUUCCGCCGGCCACAAGGUAUGGCAAAAACUUUUUUUUCAUUAACUGAAAUGCAUCAGGAGUACACCUUUGAUUGUGCCUUUGAGGUUGUUGUGUGUGUAUGAAAUUGAUAUACUCUAGUGCUGUGUGUGUAUAAAAUUGAUAUACUCGAGGCCUUCUAAUAUAAAAUUUGUGAGUUCGAUAGAUGCCAGAAAUUGAUUGGAAUUCGGAGAACACUCGAGUGUUGUGUGUGUUGUUGGCCGAACAAGUUGAAAAAGGAAAUCGGCCAAACACACACUUGAAUGCACUUGGUUAUGCUGAGGUUGAGAAUGGGUUCAAGGAAAGGACUGGAAUUGUGGCUACCAAGGGUCAGAUCAAGAACAAACGGGACAAGUUGAAGGAAGAUUUCAAAGCAUGGAAGAAACUAAUGCUAAGGCAAACAGGGACUGGUUGGGAUCCUAUAAGGAAGACUAUUGCUAUGGAUGAUGAAUGGUGGAAAAAAGCUAGAGCUGUAAGUUGGUUAAAAAAUUUUGCUAUAUUUUUUUUGCAUAUGUCAAACCUGUUGAUAAUACUUAUAAUAAUAUUAUUAUUAUGUGCUUAUUUCAGGAGAUUCCAGGUUGUGGCAAGUUCAAAAAGAAGGGCCUUGAGAAUGAAGAUGAAUUAGCCAAGUGUUUUGCUGACAUUACUACUAUUGGUAUUGAUCAUUGGUCUCCUCAUGUUGUGAAUGUUGAAGCAACCGAAAAUGUUGAUGUGACACAAGAUGAGGCAACCAAUUUUGAGCCAGAAGGUGAUGAUUUCAUUCCUGAAACACAAGAGGAGGAUAUUGGUAUUUCUCCUUCACCUGCGAGUGGCAAGAGACUGGCAAGGCCUGUUGACAGGAGUGGUAAAAAAGCGAAGUCUGGAAAUGCAUUCCUAAUUCAAGAAGCAGUAACAAGUAUGGCAAGUUCAGCCAAUGAAUAUAUUUCGAUGAGACAUGGAAAAUAUUCUAUUGAGGAAGUGAUGGAGGUUGUGAUUGCUUGUGGGGCCGGCUAUGAUAGCAAUGAACAUUACAUGGCGUCUGAACUGUUUGUGAAGAAGGAGCAAAGGGAGAUGUUCAUGACCUUGCCUACUAAUGAGAUUAGGUUCAAUUGGCUUAGGAGGAAGUACAAUGAUAAAUAUGAAAAAUAGAAAUUGGCUUAGUGAGAGUGAUGUCAUUUGUGUAUGCUACUAUUUUAUUUUUGUCGCAUGUGUGGUACAUUUUAUUUUAUUGCAUUUUAUUUAUGUAUGACAGUUGUAUCUUACAUUUCAUUUAUGUCAAUGUUCACAGAUGUCUUCAAGUGAGUCUGAUGAAUCUAGUGAUUCUGAUGGUGAAUAUUUUUUUAAAAUGGUUGAGAGCUGUGGUAAGCUAGCACAAAGUUAUCAUGACUCAUAUAUGGAUAAGGCACCGCCGAGAUUUAUGUUUUCACAACAGAGUGGAAUGGGAUGGCUGAUGGAGACGGUAAACACUCCAAGGGAGUGCCAUUGAAUGCUUCAGAUGAAUGAGGUUAUUUUUCAGGAUCUUCAUGAUGUGUUGGUUGAGAGGUACGAAUUAAAACCAUCGAAGCACAUGAAUACUCUUGAAAUGUUGGCCAUUUUCCUAUUCACAUGUGGUGGGUGUGAGUCAAAUAGAAGAGGACAGAAUAAGUUCAAACACUCAGGUGAAACCAUUAGUAGAAAAUUUCAUGAAGUUCUAAAUUGUGUGGUUGCCAUGGCACAAGAUUUCUUGAGACCAACAGAUCCUAAUUUUCGCAAUGUGCACAAGAGGAUUAGGAAUGACAAGAGAGCAUACCCACACUUUAAGGAUUGCAUUGGUGCACUUGAUGGAACCCAUAUUCGUGUGUAUUUAUCACUGGAAGAACAAGUGAGAUAUAUUGGUAAGACUGGAAUUGCAACUCAAAAUGUGCUUGCCGUUUGUGAUUUUGAUAUGCGCUUCACCUAUGUGGCUGCGGGUCAACCGGGUUCUUUGCAUGACACUAGUGUAUUGUACCAUGCAUUGGAAGCAGAUGUAAAUGUCUUCCCACAUCCUCCUCAAGGUAAAUAUUUUUCCUUAUGUUCCUUUUCAUAUUUGUAUGCACAAACUUAUUUUAUUUUACAUAUGUGUAGGCAAGUACUAUGUUGUAGAUGCGGGCUAUCCUAAUCGUCCGGGGUAUUUGGCUCCAUACAAGGGUGAAAGGUACCACUUACCCGAGUGGCAUCGAGGUAUGGAACCAAAUACUCCAAAAGAGAAGUUCAACCGUAUACACUCAUCUGUUCGUAAUGUUAUUGAGCGGUCGUUUGGAGUGUUAAAAAUGAAAUGGCAAAUCCUUUACAAGAUGCCCGGUUAUUCAAUGGUCACACAAAAGAAGAUUGUUGCUGCUACUAUGGUUCUACACAAUUUCAUACGCGAACAUGCUAGCAUUGAUGUGGACUUUGCUAAUUUUGAUAGAGAUCCUACCUACAUGCCUACUAUUCCGGAAAGAUACAACAAGUAUGCUGUGUCUCAACAUGCCUCCGAUGGAUCAACUUCGGAAUCAAGCUUUGUGACUAUGGACACCUUUCGUGAUAGUAUGGCUACAUCAAUUGCCCUAGCAUGGAAUUAGUGCAAUGAUUAUUGUAACGACCUUAUUUUGGAACUAUGAAUUUAUUUCGAAAUUUUAAAUUUUUGGAACAUGUAAUUUUUAUUAUUAUUUUGGACUUCAAUGCAUGUAGUUUCAUUUUAUAUUUGUGAUAAGUAGUUCAAGUCGAACCAGGGGCAAGAAAGUCAAUCUACCCUCAAACUCCUCUUUUCUGGAGCUAGGGACACCCUCCCAGCCAAACACCCUCACCAGACAGCUCCAACUCCACCCAGAGCUGGCUCCACCUGGAGUUCUGGAGUGGAGCAGCUCCACCCAGAGUUGGAGUCAUGCCAAACAGGGCCUUAAUUAGUACGAGCUGGUAAUACAAAUAUGUGUGUUUCCAGUAGAUCAAGUUUAAUUCAAGAUCAGUUGCAUCAGAUUACCGUAUUUCACGAUCAGUUGGAAGCUAAAACAUGUAAGUACUAGAAGGCGAUCUGUGAUUCUCGAAUGGCUGAUAGUCGGAACUAGCUGUUCUGCUACACACCUUCCCACUACUUAGAGAACUGAACUUUGAUCCUCGAUAAAAAUCUCGGAUGAUUUUGGAUCCGGAACUAAAGAGCAUUAGUCCUAACAAUUGGGACUAAAGAGCCUCUUUAGUCCCGGUUGUAACGGUCAUCAUCCACCGAGGGAAUCUGGUGGCUAUUUAGUCCUGGUUGGUAACACCAACUAUAAUCCGGUUGGUGUUACCAACUGGGAUUAAAUGCUAACCAUAUAAAACACAGUGUCUUCCUCCCCGAGCCCCAACCACUCAUUGACCGAGAGCUCGGGUUCUUUCUUGUCCAUGGCGACUAGGCAAGCUUAGGAGAGGUGCUGCUCGAUUUUUUCGCGAUUUCUUUGGGAUUUCACUCAUCCAAAAUGUUAUAUAUUGUUAGUAUGCUUGAGAGAUGGAGAAAUUUGAAAUAUUUAGAACGAGAGAGAAUGGAGAGAUUUUUUAUUUAUAGAUUCAAUUGAGCUACAAUUUUUUGGAUACUUUACAUGUUAUGCUUCGUAUUAGUUAAACAACUUGAUCAAUAUUAGGUAGGGGAAAAUAGAGUAAAUGUGUCUAUAAUAUUUGGUCCUUGCAAACAUGAGAUAAAUAAAUUAUAGAUCAAAGAAAUAGAAUUUGGUCCUUCAUAAUUUACUAAUAUAUCAUAGUGGAGAUGGUGGGAGUAAUCCUCGUUCCUCUCGAGGCAAGGGAAAAAUUCCAGUUAACCCUCGUGAGAAGCUAAAGAAAAAAGAAGCGUUGGGAGAGCAAUGCUUCGAUAUUUAUAAAAAUGUCAUGAAGAUACUGUUGUGGCAGGUCAAGAACCUCCAUUUGGUGGUCGUUAUGCUCCACCACUCUAUCUCUGAGUACAUUUAUAAACCGAGUCCGCACCUUCAUGGUUGCAUUUUCAAUACCACUAAGAUCAUAUUCGAUCAAACUGUAACCAUAUACCUGAUAUAGUCUUUCUGCUUCAACUAGUCCAGCUUCCCAACCAAAUAGAAUAUCAGAAUUAAUAUAGAAUAGUUGACACAUCUUCUCAUGCAUUGAUUCCCAUUUUACAUAGAUGGAGUCUCUUUCUCUGCUGCUAUAAUCGGCAAUACCAAUUCUGUGAAUUUGCACCAUAUGCUUCACGACUUUGUUAUACAGAGAUGCUUUCGCAUUUAUCGGUGUUUACACCCGAUAACCUACCGAGGGGGUGCUCGAGGUAGUGUUUAGUAUGUGGGGCUCACCGAGAUCAGGAACUCGAAGGUGAACUCGAACACACGAUUUAGAUAGGUUCGGGCCACUAGAUUGCGUAAUACCCUAGUAGAAUACCCCUCAAUGUAACCGAAAGCAACUGGGUCAUCAACAUGUGGCAGUCAUGGGCCUUGAGAUUUGUGAACUUCUUUUCUUUCAUAUUUAUUAUUCCUUUUAUAUUCGAGGAGUACCCAGACGGAACCUUGAUAUUAUUCAUGCAUUCAAACAUUCUAUCAUUCUCUUCCUUACUGAGAGUGUAACUGGCAGGAUGUAAGUAGUGUUGUUCGUUAUCUUUCUUUUCCGGAUGUAGGUCAUCUCAUUGCUUCGUACGUUUCAGGUCCUAUUGUGCUUCCAAUGUAUCUUUUGAGUUCCCAUAACAACCCAUGAAGCCUAGCACGUUCACGCAAACAUUCUUUGUCAGGUGCAUCACGUCUACUGCGUUGCGAACCUCUAGGAUUUCCCAAUAAGGUAGCUCCCAAAAUAUUAACUUCUUCUUCCCCAUGGGUGCACGUCCGUUAUCGUCAUUCGGAACAGGUUCGCUACCAAGAACCUUUCCAAAGACUACCCUUACAUCCUUUAUCAUCUCAAAUACACGCUUUCCACUAUGGUGUGCAGAUUUUUUACGAUGUUUUGUCGCUCCUUUGAAAUGCAUCCCUUUCUUUCUUAACGGGAAGUUAGUAGGAAGAAAUCUACGAUGACCCAUAUACAUGACAUUCCUACAGUGUUUCAAAUACAUGAUGUCUGUGUCGUCUAAACAGUGGGUGCAGGCCUGAUAUCCCUUGUUUGUCUAUCCUGAAAGGUUACUCAGUGCAGGCUAAUCAUUGAUGCUUUAUGAACAACAAUGCUCAUAGGUCAAAGCUUUCUUGUUUAUCCUCAUCCCACACAUGUACAGCUUCUUCCUUCCAGAGCAGUAGAAGUUUAUCAACCAGUGGUCUUAGGUACACGUCGAUGUCGUUGCUGAGUUGUUUUGGGCCUUGGAUAAGCACCGGCAUCAUAAUGAACUUCUGCUUCAUGCACAACUAAGGAGGAAGGUUGAACAUACAUAGGGUCAUAGGCCAAGUACUAUGACCACUACUCAACUCACCGAAUGGAUUGAAUCCGAUUGAAUCCAUCAGUUCUUAAACUAAACCUUAUGUUCCUUGCAUCACUUUCAAAGUCUAGACCCCAUCCACGGGGUGUCUCAGCAUCUCAUCUUGCCUAUGUUCUUCUUUGUGCCAUCGCAUCAAAUUAGCAUUCGCCUUGUUUCUGAACAAACACUUCAAACAUGGUAUUAUAGGGAAAUACCACAUCACCUUCACGGGAACUCUCUUCGUGGGAGACUGCCCCUCGACAUCACCUGGAUUCUCUUGCGUGAUCUUAUACCGUAGCGCUUCGCACACAAGACAAGCAUCCAAUUUCUCAUAUUCAUCACCACAAUAGAGGAUAUAGUCAUUAGGGCCUGCGUGUAUCUUUUGAACCUCCAAUCCCACAGGGCAAACAAUCUGUUUAGCUUCAUAUGUUGUGGAUGACAAUUCAUUAUUCUCGGGAAGAAUGUUCCUUAAAAUUUUCAAUAUCCCCUGAAAUGUCAUAUCGGACACACCAUUUUUAACCUUCCAUUGCAGAAAUUCUAGUGUGGUAUCCAGUUUUUUAUGCCCUUGCUUGCAAUCUGGGUACAUUAUUUUUUAUGAUCAUCUAUCAUGCGACUCCAACUUUUCUGAUUCUUUCUCAAUUCCGCAAUCUCUAUGUGCAUCCCAUAUCACCUGACCAAGAUCAUCAAUAGGAUCAUCUUCUACAAACUCAUCUUCACCAGCCUCGCCCAUUAUAGUAUCUGCAAAAGCUUGGCGUCCAGCCCAGUCCGAAAUGUUGUUAUCAUCCGUCUCUUUUUCGCCAUCUUCCAUUAUAACCCCUCUUUCGUCAUGCUUGGUCCAAACCAAAUAGUUAGGCAUGAAACUUUAUUUGAAAUAUUGGCUAAGAGCAUUUCCCCAGGAAGAGUAGUCCUUCUUAUUACUACAUUGAAAGCAUGUACAACAUAUGAACCUGUUCUCUGGUUUGUUCGCUUUGGCCACUUCGAGAAAAUAAUGCAAGUCAUCAACAAACUUCUUGGUUCGUCUAUCCACGUUAUACAUCCAUUGUCAGUCCAUCUGCAUCGUAUUACGUGGGAAAUAGACAUAGGUCUUUGUAUUAGAUAAAGAACUUGAUCAAUAUUAGGUCUUGAUCAAUAUUAGGUAGGGGAAAAAAUAGAGUUAAUAUGAUUAUAAUAUUUAGGCCUUGCAAAAAAUAUUAGAUAAAUAAAUUAUUACGUGAGAAAUGGACAUAGGUCUUCAAAUUAGAUAAAAAACUUGAUCAAUAUUCAUAAUUUACACUAAUCAACUUUUAUAAAGAUAAAAAUAAUUCACGUGAAAAUUACAAUAUUCAACAUUCAUAACAAUCACUAAAGAUACAUAUAAAAAUGACACUCAUAAUAAGACAAUAAAGAUACAUAUACACUAAAGAUUACAGACGCUCCAUAGCACACUUCACGUAGUCAGUUAUCCUAGACUAAUGGUACAACAUAGCAGAAUGUUCGCCCUCCAAGCCAUCUCUGCACUUAACUCAAUCUUCUCUGAAGUCUAUCGAGAGUCACCUCCACAUAUCCAGUACCAGAAAAUAAUGGUACAAUAGAAGAUCUUUGAAUCCACAUACUCGGGUUGAAUAUCAUAAAGAAAUCUUGAAAUAAUUAUCCAAACGUCUUUUGGAGCAAGUGCCACAUUCUCAUAAUAGAAGUGUGGUGGCAUACACACAAUAGCUCAUCCAGGCGAAAGAUCUAUUCACCGAGCAUGGCCCAUGGUGGCAAGCCAAAACCAACCAAAAGCCGCUAGAUCAAGGUCAGUGAACAGAUAUUUGCCUGAAGAGGAUAUUGUACCAGUAUACUUCUAUUAUGAGAAUUAAUCUCCAAAAGAUGUUUGGAAUAGUAUUUCAAGAUUCUUUUAUGAUAUUCAGCCUGAAUUUGUAGAUUCAAAGCUCUUUUGUUCUAACAUUAUUUUCUGGUACUGGAGGAACGGAGGUGACUCUCCAUAGACUUCAGAGAAGAUUGAGUUAUGUGCAGAGAAUAGCGUAAGCACAUUUAUACCAUGUGCAGACACUGUUAACUAGGAUUGGAGGAACGGAGGUGGUACAUCCGUUGCCGAUCCAUAUGCAUCGUAUUACGUGAAAAAUGAACAUAGGGUUUCAUAUAGGAUUAUUGUUUAUAAUAUUUAGUUCUUGCAUUAAACAUGAGAUAAAUAAAUUAUUGGUCAAAGAAAUAUAAUUAUUAUUAAAUUAGAGUGACAUGAAAAAUGUAGCAAUGACCAAAUUCUAUUUUCUUACCCCUACAAUUUAUUUACCUUAAAUUUUAUUGAAUGUCUAAAUAUUAAAAACACAUUUACUCUAUUUUUUCUCAUACCUAAUAUUGAUCAAGUUCUUUUAACUGAUACAAAUCAUAUAUAACAAGCAAUCUAUCCAUCAAAUUCUAGCUAAAAAAUAUGUAUAAAUAAAAAUCAUCUCCAUUCUCCCUCAUUCUAGAAGAACUUGUUUUUCUCCCUCUCUAAAUCAUAAAACAAAGCAUAAUAACAAUAAAUGAAGGGAGAAUGAAGUAGCUAACCUUCACAACACUUUGGAUAAGUAAAAUCCCCAUGAAAAUGAGAAAAAAAAUUCAGGCAGCACCUCCUGUAAGGUUGCUUGCUCGCCACAAAGAGGAGGACAAAGUGUCUUUGGUGGAGCGGAGUGGCUUGGGCUGGUGAGGAAAAGGAGCUCUCGGUCUGGUAAUUUAAUAGGGGAGGAGAUUUUAUCCCAGUUGGAAUAUCUCGGUUGGAAAUUCCAACCGGAACAAAAUACCACCCCUUUUGUCUCAGUUGGUGGUUUUGUCCCUGUUGGAAAUUCCAACUGAGAAAAAAGGGUCCGGCCGUUGGUACGAUAUUUCUAGUCGUUACAACCGGGACUAAGGGGGACUUUAGUCCCGUUUGGUAUUUACAACCGGGACUAAAACUUCUCCCGCGAUGGCCUUUGGUGGCACAUUUUUUAUCAAGACUAAAGCCACUUUAGUCACAGGUACAAUGUUAAUCGGAACUAAAGAGGUUGGAUGGAAGAUCAAUUCUCUACUAGUGGAUGUCACAUCUGCAACCUUGUGAUGAAAAAUAAGUAGUCAAACAUGCAUGCAGGUGUGCUACUUCUAGUUCAUGUGCGCUAGUGCAAGAAUGGGAAGACUACUAAGCUCAUGUAAGAAUAAAUUACCAUUCUUGCGGAUCAGUGUCCAGGCCACCGUUCAGGUCCAGAGAGAACGCACCUGCACCACCACUCGUCGCGCGCCACCAAGCACAAGGAGCAGAUGACCUUGGCACUGCUGGAUGCGGUAGCGGAGUGGCAGAUCUUGGCAUGGCUUGUGUGGAACCCGGUGGCGCUGGGAACCAGCUGGAGAACCCCGGGGGCGGACCGGCGGAGCUUCUUACUGCUUGAAGCGACGACGCCAUCUGCCGCUUCGACCGGCGAGACAUCUGCUGCUUGUUAGCUAGGGAUUUUUACAAGAGCUCUGGGAAAAGAAGUAGAUGCAUCGAGAAGUUCAAUCGACUGCAGGAUAAGGCGAUCUGGUUUCGUAGGAGAAGAUUUGGCGGGCGAUCGCCCAUCCUUCGCGCCAACUAUCCUGCGCUCCGGCGAGGAAAAAACUCACUGGGGUAGGGGAACGGACGGCAGCGCCCGCACGGGAUUUAGAUUAACUCGAAUGGCCCACAAAAAUCGACAAGUUGGUCGCAAAAUCGGCUCCAGUGCAUGGAUUAAUAUUCCCGUGCUAGAGCUUGGCGCGACAAGGUCGCCCUCUCUUCUCCUUUCUCUCUCAUCCACAUAGGAUUUUACUGACAUCACAAGUGAUAUGGUCUUAUUGUACCACUCUAAAGGAGGAGCAGCACGAAUCAGGGCAAGCGAGAUCCUGUGAUCUUAUUGUACGACUCUAAAGGAGGAGCAGCACGGACGAGGGCAAGCGAGAUCCCGAGCGAGCUGCUCGCCGGUUGGGGAGGCGCGGCAGUGGCCGGGCAUCACCGGCCGUGUGGCAGACGAGCGCUGCGCUCGGUCGGCCACUGACCGAGGCAGCCAUGGUUCGUUUUCAACACUUUGGUCAAGUGUUGCAGCCAUCUUUGAUCGCUAAAAACUGAAGUUUUCCAUACAUAACCUCUACUGAAAUUCAAUACAAAAGUUGUAGUUUAGAUCAUUCCCUGAAACUUUCGGUAAGGGUGAAAGUUCAAAAGUCCAUUGGUCUGGAAACUAUUCAAGCUCGAACUUCGAACAGACUAAGGUUUUCCCUGAAUUUUCAGGGAUUCCAACGUGGUUUUUACCCAAGUUUCAAUAGAGAUUUGAAUGCUAAAAUGUUGUCAAAACAUACCAAUUUUGUUCUGCAUGUCAGUUUCUAGUAUAUAACAAGUUCUAUAAAGAAAUUUUUGAAUGUUCAUAUACAAAAUUGAGAGAAAUCAAAAUAGUUUCGUGGCAUGUUUGGGCUGUUUUCCGGACUUGGAAGUUUUUCAGGUGAUGACCAAAACAACGGCUUGACUAGAUUUUGACUAAAAUUUUGAGCAUCUAAACAAAGUUUUCAUAUAACCACAACAUACCUAGAUGAAAAUAUAUACUCCAUACUUUAAUUCUUAUGUUGGUCAAAAGUCAAAUGUUUUGGAAAAAUAGCUUUUAAAUAGCGGUCAAACAUAGCAAAAUUGAAUUUAAUCCACACUAGUUUCUCUUCUUUUUAGUUCAAAUGAACUAUUUGACUUGUGUCAACAUUUAAAGAUGUUAAUGUUCCAAUUUUGGUUUGUUUGUCAUUUUUAACUGUAUUUGAACAGAAAUAUCAUAUUUUUCACAUCUCACCAUUUUUAUUAAUAUUUAAUCACUAUUUAGCUUAAUUCCUUCUUUAAUUUCAUUCUGAACGGUAAAACCACACCAUUUGUGCAACAAUGCUCAUAGAAAUUUAAUCAUACCAAUAUGCACACAUAAUUAUGCUAAUGAUCAUGAUUAUGCAUAUGAUUAGUCCUUAAUCACUAUGCCAACACCAUAGAUGUUACAACCCUUCCCCUCACUACCGGAAACAACAAGGUUGUCGAGUGCCUGAGGCACUCGGCAAAGGCCGAAAAACUCUCGGCAAAGAGUUCGCCGAGUGUAACACUCGGCGCACGGCACUCGGCAAACUUUCCUACGGCAAACGUGGAGUUGCCAAGUGUCGAACAUCGAGCACUCGGCAAAUGAUUUGCCGAGUGUCAAAAAGCACUCGGCAAACAUUUUCGGAAAAAAAAAACAGACCACCGGUCACGGCCACGGCCACCACGCUGCCACCGGCCGCCACGCCGCUGCCGCCCGCCGCCGCCCGCCCGCUGUCGCCCACCCGCUGCCGCCCGCCGCUGCCGCCCGCCCGCCGCCGCCCGCCCGCUGCCACCCGCCCGCCGCCACGCGCCAGAUCCGGAGGGGAAAGAGGUGGGGGCCGCCGGAUCCGCGCCGGAGGGGAAGAAGGGGGCGCGGAUCCGGCCGGAGGGGAGGUAGCCGGGGAAGAAGGGGGCAGCGGUGGGGCCGGGGGCCGGGCGUCGGGCGGCAGCGAGGACGGGGACUGGGUGCUGGGCGCGGGACGGCGGGGUUGGGGGCGCCAGGCGGUGGGCCGGGGGGCGCCGGGCGCCGGGGCCGGGGGCGGGGGGGAGAGAGAAUGUGAGGAGGAUAGUGGCGGAGGAGAUAAGGCCGGGUGCUGCGGGCCGGGAUAAGGCUUGCGGCCGGGUGGGAAAAAAGAACGGUCGCCGAAUGUCCUAGGGUGACACUCGGUGAACGGUUGUUUGCCGAGUGUCUAACCUAGGACACUCGGCAAAGAUAUUUUAAAAAAAAUUAAAAAAUAUCUAACAGUUUUGAAAAAUUGUCAAAAAUUUACAUGAAAUAAUAUAUAUUCUCUAUUGACUGUACAAAAAGUUUUGUAGUCAAAUUAAAACUCGACCGUCAUUUUGACUCAAAAUCUUAUGCAAUCCUUCUCAACGUUACUAUUUUUCUUCUGAAAUGCUUCGGUUUGUAAACAUCGUACGUGACGAAAUGUGCAAAACAUUCUCAAUUUUUUUCCACAGCCCCACCUAUGAUAUCAUCACAUCAUGACAAAUCUCAUGAUUUUCAGACUUUCCUUGUUUUUUUUAUAAUUUAAAAAUACCACUGUCACACGUUCGUGGUCGUGUUUCCUGAACAAGAUGUUCGAAAUUUCUUGUCAUUUCGUGGGUCAGGUCUCAAAUUGGGCCGAAUAACAUGAACAUCAUUUUUCUACUCAUUUUGUUCCAUAAUUUGAAUCACUUGCAGUUCAAAUUUGACUUAUACCAAAAAUUUCCUUGAAAUGCAAUUAAUUAAAUAAAUAUAGCAAAUAAAUCCACAAAUACCAAAUCUUAACAUGGAGUACCACAUAUUGUAUGUGGGGAGUAGAAAAAAUUUCGUGGUGAAAAGAGAAAAAAAAUAUUUUUUUGCCGAGUGUCAAAAAAAACACUAGGCAAACCCCCUCUUUGCCGAGUGUUUUUUUUGACACUCGGCAAAGAGGGGGCUUUGCCGAGUGUUUUUUAUUUGACACUCGGCAAGCCCCGAUUUGCCGAGUGUAUUUUUUUUGCCGAGUGUUUUUAGCUUGGCACUCGGCAAAGAGCUUGUUUGCCGAGUGCUCGCAAAAAAACACUCGGCAAAAAAAAUACACUCGGCAAUUUUUAGCUUUCCCGUAGUGCCUUAAAAGAAUCUCUCCCUGAUAUUCACGUGUGUGUAGAAGUAAGGUACAGGGGUUUAUCCUAAGGGCACCUUGAUCGAUAUUCAAAACUUAAGCUAUUUAGAUCGAAGAAAUUCUACUUGUUUCCAUGUCGCCCUUUCUUUAGAGUAGUUACUUCCAUGAACCUUGUAAACUCAAUAGUCUGAUUGCGAGUGAUUCGACCCUUUCGAUCAAGAUUCUUUAUCGGGUGUUUGGUAUAAGAUCGAAUUUGAUUUGAAGGUCACUCAUCCCAAUUGCCUAUGCUGGAGCUUGAAAAAUUCCUUAGCUCUAAGACAAGAAUGAUGUUGGGGUAGCUGAAAAUUGCAGGGAAAUUCUAACUCAUGGAGUGCGAUGCUUGAAAGACACUCUCACGGAUAAUAAGUGAUGAUCGUACGAAAAGGUAUGUUUAAAUGGGUUUUUCUAGAAUAUUCUUGCUCAAGGUUUACUUAAUUUGUGAGUUGUACAGUGCCGAUUGAAAAAUAUGCUUGUUUUGUACAAUUUAAUGAUGCUUUAUGCUACUGCCAUCGUGAUAUGAGAAUGAUGACACAAUGUUGUAUCUUAUGGUGCAAUGGCUUAAAUUUGAUGUUUUGAUGCACACAUGAGUCGUAUGAUUGCAAUGACAAUGCACAUGGGGAUGACUCGUGCAAUAAUGCAAUGGUGCACAUGGCAUGAUGGAUUAUGAUGCUAACUUGAUGAUGCACAAAUCAUGAUGUAUAGUUGAUGGUGCACAUGGUUAUGCUCAUGAUGGGUGCAUAUAGUAUGAUGCACAUGCACAUGAGUGUAUGCAUGGUGCACAUGUUGGGAUGCAUGUUAGUAUGCCUCGCGUCACACCACUAACACUCGUUAUUUGUCAGAGUAGAUAUCAGAGACUAAGACACAUAUUCAGUUUGGGGAAUAGAGGUUCUAGUGGGGUUGCAUUCACACAUACUAAGACACCAGCGCGCUCCGAAUGGAUCGUUCGCAUGGCUGCAGCACACACGAAACUCUAAGUUCCAUUGCGGCAGCAUAGGUUAUGGAACAACAACACCACAAGAGGAUUGUAUAGACAACAACCCGAAUAGCAUGAGUGGCUCGAAUGGAGAUAGAAAACAGCCACAAGUUCUGAUGCAUAUGUUGUUAGCUAACCAAAAGAUCCUAAGGUGCAUAUGACAUGCUAAUGGUAAUGUGAUGACUAUGCGUAUGAAUUAAUGUAGAGUAUGCAAGGUGUGAAUACUGCAUUGAAAUUUAUAUAUCCUUCUCAUUUAUUUAUAUUUGAUUGAGCAAGAAUGAGAACACAAGAUUCAUGGGUUGGGAGACCAAGGUAAUCAACAUAUAAAGGGGUAUCCAGGUCACUGAGAGGAUCAACUAAUCAAGAUCACAUAGCUAUUGAAUCAAGGACAGAUAAGUUCUAGCUGAGCAGAGUGCAUGGAAGUAUCAAGAAGACCACAAUGGAGUUUCACUUAACUUUUCCAAGAAAACACCUCUCUCAUUUCAAGUGUCAAAGAGGAGUGAAAAUGGAGAUUAACUAGUAGUGCACAGAUUCUGUCAACAUUCUGGACAGAAAAUUCAAAAAUUCAUAUCUCCCAAACUAAUCAUCCAACAAUGCUCAAAUUUUGACAGUAGGUGCAUAUGACAGUGAGCCACAACUUUGUUAUAAUGUGAUUGCACAGAUUUCAUAAUUAAGGUUGCUGAAAAUGAAGGUUUCUGUCAGCGGUCAUUUCUGAAUUUUCUGAAACAGUGCAUCACCAAAUGGGUCAUAACUUUUGAUCCACAAUUCCAACAUUAGCAAAUAAACAAACUGCAGCCAUCUGCAGAAAAAUUCUUACAACUUUCGUAUUAAACUCCAAAGGCAAUUCAGAUUGCAUCCAACAUUAAUCUGAGCAAACAUAUUUCAGCACGUUUCUGAAAUCUGGGGACAGCAACUUUGAAUUUUUAUAAUUCGAAACCUACAUGUCCAAAAUUUCUCAAAUUUUUAGAAGGAACUUAAAAUUUAAUGGCCUACAAAGUUCAGUCAUAGAUCUGUCCAGAUUUUGAAAUUAAACGGGCGUAAAAUUAUUUCUACUAUCGGCAGUACUAAAUUGAGCGUAUCUCACAAACUACACCAUGGAAUGGCAUGAAAUUUUUACAGCAGUUUGACAUAAAAAUUAUCUACGAGUUCCCUAUUAUCAAGGUUUUGAGGAAAAAUUUGUUUGGUGGCAAAAACAUGUAUAGACAGCAGCAUGGUCCAGAAUGACAGAAUUUAGUUACAUGUUCAAAGCAAGCAUCCGUGCAACAUGCAGCUAGGAAAUAUCCAAAAACACCAAAAGCAAAAGAAUGACAUCAUGCAUGCAUGUCUUAUCCGUCCUCACCCAAAUUUUGCCAACAAAAGCGGCAAUAUCUGUGGAUUUUCGAUGGCACAGGUACGUACUCUCCCUAUAAUAUACUUGUCGAUUUCUACGAUUUGUUUUUAGUCAUUUCGUGGAUAAUGUAUCUGUAGAAAAUUCACAAGAUAUAUCUACUUCUGGACCCUUCGUGCCAGCACUCACGAACGGCCCCCAUGUGUCCUACGCCACACGGGUAACGCAUAUGCAGUUUCCCACAUAUUCACAUAUACAUUACCAUCCACUAUAGUGAUGGCAUCCAAACGUUUAAUACUGAAUGGGCAGCGAUUCAUUCAUCACCGAGGCAACGUAUUCACUUCUUGUACCAUCACCUUAGAGGAAAGUCCAUGGGUAAACGUGUCCCGUAGUACACGGCCAUGAUCAUCAUCGCACAACUUGAUGAACUUUACCUUGCUUACCUUGGCGUUGAAUGUUGUUACAGAAAGUAAGUUGCAGAAAGUAAAUGUGCUGGAAGUCAAAAUAAAAAUAUAUUACCACCUAAAAUAGACAUACAUCAUAGUAGGGCUUACCAGCUAUCUUUUCCUAAUUCCUUAAGGGGAUCUUAAACAUAUCAAGUUGGAAAAUCAUUUUUAGUUUUGAAAAAGUAAAUUAGUGUCAUGUUAGUAUUAUACUUGGUGUAUUUUGGCUCUGAUACCAGCAGUGGCAGAACCGCGCAAAUUAAACCAGCUUAAGUACGCUAACCAUCCUCUUAAUGGUUAAUGUAGUCAAUACACACUUAAAAUGGCAUAAUCUGAUAGUCUGUCGGGUAAAAUCCCGAUUCAACCAUUGAAUGUCUCAAUUGAAAUGAUACAACGCAAGUCUCACAUGAAGGUGAGGAUAUAUAUACAAACAUCAUAGAGUUUACAUAAAUUAAGGUACAACAGUUUAACUUUUACAACCAAAAUUCAUAUACAAGAAUGAUACAGAGGUUUUGAAUGCACAGCCGAAAUAAACCUGAAACUAGCAAAAAAUAAUAUAGACAGAAACUAGAAACAUCGACAAGCAGGGGACAACACAUCGAGCCCACCAAUGUGCCAUCACGGAGAAGCAACACCACCUGAAAUAGGGUCACAACAACAACCAUGAGUAUACAAAUACUCAGCAAGGCUUACCCGACUAUGGUAUAUACUUAGCUGACUCCUAAUAUGCAAGGCUUUUUGGCUGCUAGGUUUGUUUUCCCAAAUAGCAACUAAAUGUGUAUCCUUAGUUUCAGUAUUUUAGCAAGUUUUAAGUGAGGCUAACUAUUCUUUAGAUUUGCGUAGAUACCAAAUUUAGUGUGGAAAAAAAUUAAUUAGAUAAACAACAUUAAUAACCAUCAUCAUCAUCAUCCUAUUCCACUUCUUACAACGAUGCAAUGUAGUGAUCAAGGUACUCUAUUCUGAGAGGUACGGUGAAUUGAUUCGAUUUUAUCCCUCAACACCAAACAACACCCAAGCACAGGGCGCAAUAUACAACACCCCAAAUAGGAUGUAGGGUAUUACGCUACUCUGGCAAACCGAACCUGUAUAAAUUCAUAUCUUGUGCCCUCACUUUUACCUUCGAGUUUCAGGUCCGGUGAUUCCCGACCAACCAAUCUACUACCUCGGGAUACCCCUCGGUAGGUUGCCGCGUAUAAAACACCAACAUCUAGCACUCCAGGUUGGGGUACCUUGGGAUACCCCUCGGUAGGUUGCCGGGUAUAAAACACCGACAUCUAGCAUGUCAGGUAGGGGUGAUCGUCGAGAUCAUCGGGCGAGCUUAAAGGACCUCAUCAUCAAGAUCAAUCUACUUGACAAGAUGCAAGUUGCUGAGUUGGAGUUCCGAGUAGACAAAUCUACUUCGAGACAGAAUCAAUGCGCUCUGCGUUCCAGUCGAAGACCGAGUCGAUUUCCGCCGUAGGCCACUGCAUACGGCUCGUCGAUCAAGGUAGAGGUAAAUCUAUUUUGACUUGGGAGAUCAGGCAGAUCGUGGGACUCACGCCAUAAUUCCCAAGAUGACAAAGAUCUGUUACAGUCACGAGCGGAUUGAGGUAAAUAAUCAGCUCUAACUACUCUUCAUGAAAAGCAAUUUGAGGGAUUAGUGCUACACUCACAUGGAAGGCUACCGCAAGACCUCAAAAUUAUAGCCUAACGUACAUAGAAGAUGUACGCGAGCACUGCUACCCUGAUGUCCAGCCGCAUCAAGUCACUGAUGACUACUUUGACUACUCUUCUCGACUAGAAAACUAGUCCAGG